Molecule: transfer RNA, 71 nt
Filed under: Danio rerio (zebrafish)
Lineage: Eukaryota; Metazoa; Chordata; Actinopteri; Cypriniformes; Danionidae
Description: tRNA-Gly (GCC) (tRNA-Gly-GCC-12-1)
Rfam family: tRNA
About the family: Transfer RNA (tRNA) molecules are approximately 80 nucleotides in length. Their secondary structure includes four short double-helical elements and three loops (D, anti-codon, and T loops).
Source: Rfam by way of RNAcentral
GCAUUGGUGGUUUAGUGGUAGAAUUCUCGCCUGCCACGCGGGAGACCCGGGUCCGAUUCCCGGCCAAUGCA